This 199-nucleotide long non-coding RNA is filed under the name Hordeum vulgare. Its description in RNAcentral is "long non-coding RNA (HVUL_LNC019969)". Lineage: Eukaryota; Viridiplantae; Streptophyta; Magnoliopsida; Poales; Poaceae. The record is from RNAcentral.
UUUGUGAUUAACAUCAGUGAUCUGACAACUGAUUUGAAUGUUUGUUUUUUCUUCGAUUAGCAUAUUACUUCCAUCGAGUGCAUACCAAAAGAGCAAAUCGAAGAAGAGAAAUCAUAGGAGUCCGACGAAAAGCAAAACAGGGCGUGAACCAAGAUGCAAAAGGGCACCACAUAAGAAGAAAAAAGGCGCUCCACACGAC